RNAcentral lists this non-coding RNA (27 nucleotides) under Mus musculus (house mouse). Lineage: Eukaryota; Metazoa; Chordata; Mammalia; Rodentia; Muridae. The record is from RNAcentral.
UGAUUUCAUCUGCUAAACCUGCUGCAG